This is a long non-coding RNA of Brassica oleracea var. oleracea, 651 nucleotides long. RefSeq lists it as uncharacterized. The record is from RefSeq and is a predicted model, not a curated record. The transcript is spliced from 2 exons. Lineage: Eukaryota; Viridiplantae; Streptophyta; Magnoliopsida; Brassicales; Brassicaceae.
AUUGUGUAAAAAAAAAAUUAGAAAAUCCCCACUUCUCUUUCAUUCUAGUAAAAAACGUCGACAGAAAAAAAGAAGAAGAAGAAAGAGCUAGCGACUUCCAUCUCCAAAAUCUCCAACAGUUCCUUCUCCAUUACCACUUUCGAAGGUCAUGAACGUCUUCAAUUCUGAACACCCCAAUCUCAUCUCGUCUUCCUGUCUGUUGUCGUGGACGAACCCUAACUCCACACCACCACCUUCGAUUCCCCGAAACUUGAACUCUCAUAGGUGAUUCAGAAAUCAAUUGACAAAAUGGAUUGCCAGUACAAUGUGCUGUGAAGAAGGAGAAAGAAGCUAAGAAGAUGAUGGAGAAGGAGGAUCUUGGGUGUAACUUUGAUGGCUUGAAUGAUCAGAUUAUAACGCCAUUGCGACUAAAGUUGACGGCUGAUAUUUAUGAGAAAGUGACUGAGAGAGUCGAAUAAAUUAGUCUUGUAUUUUGGUUUUUUGGCUACUGAAUAACAGAUGUAUAACUUGCUGGGUUUUUGGCUUUAGACGGAUUUAUUACUUUUUUGGUUUUUGGCUUUAGUCGGGUGUAUUAUUUUUCUGGUUUUUUGGCUUAUAAAUAAUGGAUGUAUAAAUUACUAGUUUUGGUUUAUGAAUGAUGGAUGUAUGACU